This 622-nucleotide ribosomal RNA is filed under the name uncultured beta proteobacterium. RNAcentral's name for it is "bacterial SSU rRNA". It matches the Rfam family "Bacterial small subunit ribosomal RNA", at positions 33 to 650 of the family's 1533-position model. The record is from RNAcentral. Lineage: Bacteria; Pseudomonadati; Pseudomonadota; Betaproteobacteria.
ACGCUGGCGGCAGCUUUACACAUGCAAGUCGAACGGUAACGCGGACUUCGGUCUGGCGACGAGUGGCGAACGGGUGAGUAAUGCAUCGGAACGUGUCCAUUUGUGGGGGAUAGCCCGGCGAAAGCCGGAUUAAUACCGCAUAAUCUCUUCGGAGGAAAGUGGGGGACCCUCGGGCCUCACGCAGAUGGAGCGGCUGAUGUCGGAUUAGCUUGUUGGUAGGGUAAAAGCCUACCAAGGCAACGAUCCGUAGCUGGUCUGAGAGGAUGAUCAGCCACACUGGAACUGAGACACGGUCCAGACUCCUACGGGAGGCAGCAGUGGGGAAUUUUGGACAAUGGGGGCAACCCUGAUCCAGCCAUGCCGCGUGCGGGAAGAAGGCCUUCGGGUUGUAAACCGCUUUCAGACGGAAAGAAACAGUGCAAGUUAAUAACUUGCAUCAAUGACGGUACCGUCAGAAGAAGCACCGGCUAACUACGUGCCAGCAGCCGCGGUAAUACGUAGGGUGCGAGCGUUAAUCGGAAUUACUGGGCGUAAAGAGUGCGCAGGCGGCUCUCUAAGACAGGUGUGAAAUCCCCGGGCUUAACCUGGGAAUGGCGCUUGUGACUGGAGAAGCUAGAGUGUG